Zalophus californianus (California sea lion) is the source of this 1204-nucleotide long non-coding RNA. RefSeq lists it as uncharacterized. The transcript has 3 exons. The record is from RefSeq and is a predicted model, not a curated record. Lineage: Eukaryota; Metazoa; Chordata; Mammalia; Carnivora; Otariidae.
CAUCGCGGAGGCCGCGCACACGGGGAGGCGGCCCCCCGGGCUCCCUUGCACCCACCCCUGCAUUGGCUGCCUAAAGCCGAGAGACGAACCAGACCGCGACAGGCUGGAGGGGUAUCAAAAUUACACUUGCAGAUGCCCAUGGAUUUCCUUAAGUGGGCCCUUCUGAGAAACCCAGUUUUCUUACCUAGUCUGUGCUUAGAAUUGGCAGAGGCCGUCUCGGUUACCUCACUUCCCCUACAAAUCCACCCUGCUCCUUACCUCUCACCCCUCCUCCUGCUGCCCUGCCCCUCCACUUCCACUCCCUCGGCAGGGGGCAGGGGGAUAUUCUCGAAAAUGCGCCAUCUGCACUGGAGCCUGCCCCAGGCCACCGCACUCCAGGAUGGGGUGGGACCCGGGGUGUAUCGCCGCCGAGCCUCCGCAUGAGGAAGAAAAGGCCUUAACUCACUGCUGCUGCGCCCAGACCACCUGCUCUCGAAGUUUCAGUCUUCCUAAACAUCAGUCAACAAAGAUUUUUGAUUGAUCAGAAAUGUCAGAUUUCCAUCUUACAGCUCUCAGGAUAGGGAGGGAGUACAAAAAGCUUCUGUAUGCUUUGAAGCACACACUUUAUAGGUGUAAAUGAUAAACAAUUCAGAAGGCCUAGAGCUUUUGGGUCCUAGACAGACUUCCGUGCAAGCAAACUUUGGGUUCAUCCUGCGGCCCUCUGCUCUCUGCCCACUUCCCCUGCUUCCUUACUCAGCCCACACAGGAAGCAAACCACAGAGGAGGAGCAUCUUACUGACCCGGGCCCUGGAAGCAGAUUUCGUACUAAAGACACACGAACAAUCUAGGCCAUGAAUGGAUGACAGCCAAACACUACCUCAGAUAAGGAAGCCUCAAGAUGUUAAGUGAAAUGGUCAGUUCCUGCUGGAAAGUUGCCAAGCUGGGAUUUGCUCUCGGGCCAGCCUGACUCCAGAGCCUGAAUGAAUCAAGACUUCCAUUCUGUGCUUCAGUCAAAUCCACUCUUCUUGAUGCAUUGUCUUUUCAAAAAUGUUUUAUUAUGGACACUUUCUACACAUAAAGGAGAGUAGAUUAAUGAUUUCCUAUGUACUGAUCAACCAGCUUCAACCAUUCUUCCAUUCACCAGUCUUAUUUCCUGAUGACCUUUUAAGUAGCAGACCCUCAGAGAAAAAAGGAACACUCUGUAGGCUUUGAGUCCUUGGAGUGG